Molecule: ribosomal RNA, 468 nt
Filed under: uncultured bacterium
Lineage: Bacteria
Description: partial 16S ribosomal RNA
Rfam family: Bacterial small subunit ribosomal RNA
Source: RNAcentral
GACGAACGCUGGCGGCGUGCUUAACACAUGCAAGUCGAACGAAGCGGCCCUGCUAGUUUGUUGUGCUCGAGUGGCGAACAGGUGUGUAACACGGGAGUAUCCUGCACUUGACUGUGAGAUGACUUCAAGUAGCUGGGGCUAAUAGCGGAUAGGAGCUACUGCCGCAUAGGGGGGGAUGGAAAGUUUCGGCGGUUGGGGAUAGACUCGCGGCUUAUCAGCUUGCUGGGGUGGUAGUGGCAGACCCAGGCUUGGCCGGGUAGCCGGCCUGAGAGGGUGACCGGACACAUUGGGACUGAGCUACGGCACAGACCCCUACGGGAGGCAGCAGAGGAGAAUAUUGCACAGUGGGCGGAAGCCUGAUGCAGCAACGCCGCGUGCGGGAAGACGGCAUUCGGGUUGUAAACCGCAUCCGUCUGUGAAGAGGCGUGAGUGACGGUAAUGGGUAAAGAAGCACCGGCUAACUACGUG